GUGCCAGGUGCUGUCCUAAGAAAUUUACAUACAUUAACUCAUGUCAUCCUCACCAUGACCUUUUCACAACUGAGGAGACUAAAGCACAGCUAAGGAGACUCAAGUCAUGCUGGCAUGACUUGAAUGCAGUAAAACACGUAGCAUCAUAUUGGUAAGUGCUAAUUAUUAUUAUUAAUUAUUGCUAUUAUUAGUAUUUUGUACUGUGGCUGCCAUGAAAUGGUGACACUCAGACCCCUUGCUUCAGGGAGAGUGAUGGAGAGUAGCUGGCUGAUUACCCCAGCUGCCAAACUCUAAGUUCACAUCCACAUUCUCACCAUGUUACUCUGCUUGACCCAAGGCCAUGCUUCCUGUGGGCUGCUCCAGGCCAUUGAUGGAGCGUGGUAUGGAUGCCAACACAAGCUCAUUCAUUGAGAGCUAGGACUCCUCCAGCAGCGACUUUAGCUCAAAGACUUCCCAUCAGCCUGGCAGCAGCUCCUGGGAAUUGUGCUACAGCCUGCGACUUUCUCCUACCUUGU
This 515-nucleotide long non-coding RNA is filed under the name Pan troglodytes (chimpanzee). RNAcentral's name for it is "long non-coding RNA NONPTRT003846". Lineage: Eukaryota; Metazoa; Chordata; Mammalia; Primates; Hominidae. The record is from RNAcentral.